This 1720-nucleotide long non-coding RNA is filed under the name Homo sapiens (human). Its description in RNAcentral is "HSALNT0334416". The record is from RNAcentral. Lineage: Eukaryota; Metazoa; Chordata; Mammalia; Primates; Hominidae.
UACCUAGCUGUUAUCUCGCUCUGUCCUGCUAAGAAUCUGCCUGCCUGAGUGAUGCAGCCAGGCUCCCUUGUUCCCUGGGGCAAGGAACCAGUAGAGGGAUAGGGAAUCACAGUGUUUCCCGGCUGCAAGGGCCCUUGGAGAUGGUUUUACAGAUGAGGAAGCAGAGUCCAGAGAAAGGAAGUGAUCUGCUGGGAACCACUGUACUUUUCACACAAGCAACUUUCCGGGCAUCUGCUAUGUGCUGUCCACAGGAUGGCGAGGGGCCUCAUCUUGCAGCCUGAGGGAACAGCCUCAUAUUCAGGCUUCCUUUUGCCUUCUCUGCUUCACCUUGAUUGAAGCUACCCUUCUCUGCACCUUCUUUAAGACUAUCCUAAACAUCCUGCCAUUAAUUAGCUGAACAGCCCAUCUAGUAAACAAGACCGAUGGUUGAGGGGCUGGAAAAGAGGAGGAGUCAGCAAGUUGAAAGUCACAACAGACCAGCCCACUCCCUCAGAUAAAAGAAAGGCACAUCACAGUUGUCACAUCAGCAGGCUAGAAAAGCCAUCCCAUUCCUGCGGUAGGCAUUCUGUCAAAGAAAAAGAAAUCUGCAAUGAAUUAUCACAUGAAGUCAAACAAGGAAAGGAGGCAAAAAGCAAGCAGAGCCCUCUUCCUGUUUUGUAGACUCUGCUGGCUACAAUCUAAUAGAAUGCUUAAUCUGAAUAUUUCUGGUGGCAAAACUAUAGCAACCAUUCUGUCUAUUAAAAAGUCAGUGUGGUUAACAAGUGGUUAGUGAUUCUAUUUUUGGGAAGUAGCAGAUACAUAAAAUAAGACAUCCCAUUUUGUUAACUGAUUGGGCUUGGUUAGGCCAAAGAGAUGUAUUGAAUCUGUUUGUCUUUUAUAAACAUGUGUUCUCUAUUCGAUAUGCUCAGGAAUCACUUCUAACUAACUAAGUAUCUUAAUAGUCUAUAAAUUACUGACUCAUUACUGGCCCUUCCCGGGCCUAAUUUAUAGUCUGAGUGAAAAGCUGUCGGAACAGACACUAAUAGAGGCCUCUCCUCCUCCCUAAAAUAUGAUGAUCUCAAAGGAGUUCUGUAUAGUUCUGCAUAUUGUAGACAGUAUCAAAAAUGCAAAUCUUAUAUAAUUUUAUAUACAUACCUGUACGUACAGAUGUACACAUGGAUAUGCAUGGUGGGAUAAAAUACUCCCAUAAAAGAAAAUGGGAAAAUGGAUUCUAAGUGCAAUAAUUAAUACGUUUCAGUAAAGAAAGAAAAGUUGCAUGCUUUUCAUUCCAAGAGACAUAUUUUGCAUUUCAGUGUUGGGAGACCUGGAUCACACAGGGUCUCUGUAACAUCCUGAAUUCCACCAUAAGACCCAGAGGGGAGCAGAACUAAAAUUCAGGACUUAGGAAUAAAAUUUCCCUUUCCCUGGCACAUUUUUAAUCAUUUAAACUAGUAACAGUCACAUCCAGAGAAUUCAUAACCGUCAAUCUUUUCAGAAAAACAAAGAAAAUCAUAAAAUUCAGGUUAGGGAUUUUUCCCCCUUAGGCUAAUAACUCUGAAGCAGUUCUGGAGUCUGUAUACUUCCAGCCCAAUGAAUUAACCUUGAACAGCCACAGCCAUAUUUUAAGAAAUACAGAAUAACCUUUUACGAUCAAGAUAAUGCUAUGGAGGCAGUGAAAUCUUCAUCUUAAAAAAUAAUUAAACCACAUUUAUAAUUAAUUAUACUAAAAAUGGAAAGUAGA